GAGAAACUAUGUGGUUGUAUGGAGUA
This 26-nucleotide non-coding RNA is filed under the name Homo sapiens (human). Lineage: Eukaryota; Metazoa; Chordata; Mammalia; Primates; Hominidae. The record is from RNAcentral.